AUGAAUAAGUUUAAUCCAUGUACUAUUGUUCGUCAUGUAACAAAUGCCAUUAAAAGUAAAUUUUCAAAAUUUUGCCCUUCCUGGAGACAUGCUAGUGAGCAAAUGCGAGAUUUGUGGUUUAUUGAAUUUAAGAAAAAUUGUAUGUGGGAACCUCAACACAAUGCAAGAAUUUGUCAAAUUUUUGAGAUUAAAGGGAGUGAUCGAUUAAGAUCGUUGAUGAAUCAGGAGAGACGCAAUUAUUCAAAAGACCCUAACCAUGUACCAAAAUAUAUUCUUGAACCCGUAUGGCGUCAACUAUUACAUUAUUUUGCUACAGAUUCGAAAUUUAAGAACUGGUCAGCAGCAAAUACUGUGAAUCGAGCAUCAAAUGCUGGAAGUUCCAUGCAUACUGGUGGUUCCAUAUCUAUGGGUGAACAUGCACACAGAAUGGGUGAAUUCAAAAAGCGAAAGACAGAACUUUCUCAAGUAGCUUUAUCCUUGGAUAAUGAGGGAGAUGUUGAGGCAUCUAAGGAAGGCCUAGAUAUACCAGAUGAUUAUACUGUUUGGAACGAAGUUGUGACAAAGGAAAAAAAGAAAGCUGCUUUUGGUUUAGGUUCUUUUGGCUUAGAUCUCUCUUCAAAGUUGGAUUCCAGAAAUUGUUCAGAGACAUCCAAAGACAAUCUAAAUAUUGAGCAAGAACUUCACAUGUGGAAAGAAAAAGCAAAGGAGCAAGAAAUAAUCAAUGAAGAGCAAAAGGUUAAGUUGAAAGAUGCUGAGCACAAGUUAAAAGAUCAAGGACGUCAACUAAAAGUUCAACAGAAAAGAAUUGGUUCUACUGAAAAGACAAUUCAUGCUUUGUAUAAAAAGUUGAAUCUUCCACUUCCUUCAACCUUGUCUGAUCCUACGGAAGAUGAGCUUGGGACAGGCUCUAGUGAUGAUAACAUGAGUGAUUGA
This is a long non-coding RNA of Arachis duranensis, 933 nucleotides long. RefSeq lists it as uncharacterized. The transcript has 4 exons. Lineage: Eukaryota; Viridiplantae; Streptophyta; Magnoliopsida; Fabales; Fabaceae. The record is from RefSeq and is a predicted model, not a curated record.